GUUACAAUGACAAACUUAUUGAUUGGUAAUUUGUUUAAAAAAAAUGUACACAAAAAAUAGAUGCUGGGUUGAAAUUAAACCUUACUUUGUGUUUUUUCAGCCAUAAACAGGAAAGACAUCAGCACAGUGUUCCUUGAGCAUUUCAUUGCACUUUGACAGACUCAAAAGAUGCCACGUGGAAAAGGUUUUCGGCGGUCCCAGGCAGCCAAGAGGCGUAUGGCUAAGCCAUAUUCACUCAGUCCUGCAGAUCAACUUGCUGACGAAAAUUCCAUGGUUUCCAAUUGUUCCAAUGACUUUCCAAAAAGUUCCAAAAGUUCCAAUGACUUUCCAAAAAGUUCCAAUGACUUUCCAAAAAGUUCCAAUGAGUUUCCAAAAAGUUCCAAUGACCUUCCAAAAAGUUCCAAAGACAAUUCCGUUCAUGUAACCAACUUUGCUAGUUUUUCAGAUCAAGUUCUAAAAGGCUCCUUUCAUCAGGGUGAUGAACGAUUUGGGUACAACAGGAACCGGCAGUGUGGAGUCAACAGUCUGACAGCAGUGAUGAUGAGUAAACUGAAGAAUGUGCUGACAUGGACCACAGAUGACCUGAAUACUGUGUUGGUUAAAGGAGACGAAAUGUAUACAUGUAUGCGCUUACAGGGAAAAAUUAAUGAUUCAACAGGUCGUGGAUAUGUUUCCAUUGCAGAAUUGCCAAAAAUGCAUACACUGUACAGUACAAAGUUCAAAAUAAACUACAAUGAGUCAUACA
Paramisgurnus dabryanus is the source of this 745-nucleotide non-coding RNA. The record is from RefSeq and is a predicted model, not a curated record. Lineage: Eukaryota; Metazoa; Chordata; Actinopteri; Cypriniformes; Cobitidae.